UGCCAGCCGCCGCGGUAAUACGGAGGGGGCUAGCGUUGUUCGGAAUUACUGGGCGUAAAGCGCACGUAGGCGGAUGAUCAAGUUGGGGGUGAAAGCCCAGGGCUCAACCCUGGAAUUGCGUUUAAUACUGGUGAGCUAGAGUUUCGGAGAGGAAGAUGGUAUUCCAUGUGUAGCGGUGAAAUGCGUAGAUAUAUGGGAGAACACCAAUGGCGAAAGCAGUCUUCUGGACGAACACUGACGCUGAGGCGUGAAAGCGUGGGUAGCGAACAGGAUUAGAUA
RNAcentral lists this ribosomal RNA (279 nucleotides) under uncultured bacterium. RNAcentral describes it as "partial 16S ribosomal RNA". It matches the Rfam family "Bacterial small subunit ribosomal RNA", at positions 506 to 784 of the family's 1533-position model. The record is from RNAcentral.